UAAAAAUUUAAUUUAAAAUAUUUAAGUAGUAUUAGUUAAGAUCUUUAAAUUUAAAAAAUUUGGCGGUAUUUUAGUCUAUUCAGAGGAACCUGUUUUGUAAUCGAUAAUCCACGAUGGAUCUUACUUAAAUUUGUUUUAGUUUAUAUAUCGUCGUUAAAAGAAUAUUUUAUAAGAAUAAUAAUUUUCUUAAUUUUUGAAUUUAAAAUAUAUCAGAUCAAGAUGUAGCUUAUAUUUAAGUUUACAAUGGGUUACAAUUAUUAUAUUAUUGGAAAUUAAUAUGUAAUUUAUUAUUUGAAAUUGGAUUUGAUAGUAAAUUUAUAUAGAUUAAUAAUUUGAUUAUAGCUCUAAAAUAUG
This 354-nucleotide ribosomal RNA is filed under the name Eudorylas angustimembranus. RNAcentral describes it as "partial 12S ribosomal RNA". The record is from RNAcentral. Lineage: Eukaryota; Metazoa; Arthropoda; Insecta; Diptera; Pipunculidae.